RNAcentral lists this long non-coding RNA (539 nucleotides) under Sus scrofa (pig). RNAcentral's name for it is "lncRNA (ENSSSCG00030059270.1)". Lineage: Eukaryota; Metazoa; Chordata; Mammalia; Artiodactyla; Suidae. The record is from RNAcentral.
GAUGUGAGCAGCUUCUUUCAUAGAGCAGAGUCUGCUGGCUGGAAGAAUCUAGAAUUGUAACGAAAGAAAGGAAACAUGAAUGAGAAAUGACUAGACUUUACACCCGAUGCUUUGGAACAUUCCAGAGCCAAGAAAAGCCCUUCUUGUCACACAUGAUUUCUUAAUAAUUAGGGCCAGCUGUGCUUGGGCAAUUCCGGUCAAGCCAGAUGCCAAAACCCAUUGCAGACACAGGAAGAGCCUCAUCGUCAAGUCUCCAAACAAGCAGUCGAAAAUCAAAAGAGAAGACCAGCAAAGUUGGAAAGCCAAGGGCUCCUUCCUCCCAGGAAGAGCAAUGAAAAGUAAGGUAAGAUGUGCCAGCUCUUCUCCCCUGCCUGAUAUACCUGUGUGCCUGGAUGAAGGUAAGAGAUGCUCUCCCAGGUAUGAAGCCCCCCUGGAACCCCAUCAGUAUAAGGUCCAAGAUCAGCACAGCUAGAAAAGAAUAACAGGUCUUGCUCGUGUGACGGACACUGUGCAUCCCCUCCAAUAGCCAGUCUUGCCCC